This 470-nucleotide ribosomal RNA is filed under the name uncultured organism. Its description in RNAcentral is "partial 16S ribosomal RNA". It matches the Rfam family "Bacterial small subunit ribosomal RNA", at positions 335 to 797 of the family's 1533-position model. The record is from RNAcentral.
ACUCCUACGGGAGGCAGCAGUGGGGAAUUUUGGACAAUGGGCGAAAGCCUGAUCCAGCCAUGCCGCGUGCAGGAUGAAGGCCUUCGGGUUGUAAACUGCUUUUGUACGGAACGAAACGGCCUUUUCUAAUAAAGAGGGCUAAUGACGGUACCGUAAGAAUAAGCACCGGCUAACUACGUGCCAGCAGCCGCGGUAAUACGUAGGGUGCAAGCGUUAAUCGGAAUUACUGGGCGUAAAGCGUGCGCAGGCGGUUAUGUAAGACAGUUGUGAAAUCCCCGGGCUCAACCUGGGAACUGCAUCUGUGACUGCAUAGCUAGAGUACGGUAGAGGGGGAUGGAAUUCCGCGUGUAGCAGUGAAAUGCGUAGAUAUGCGGAGGAACACCGAUGGCGAAGGCAAUCCCCUGGACCUGUACUGACGCUCAUGCACGAAAGCGUGGGGAGCAAACAGGAUUAGAAACCCCUGUAGUCCC